CCAAUCCUUUGGCACUUCUUCCGUGUAGCCAUUCAGGAGCCAUGACUUUGCUGGCUCUGUUAUGGCCUCCAGUGAGCACAACAUCUGAGAGCAAAGCCUGCACAGUUUUGGCUGCUUGGAGGAAGAGCUGCUUAAUCCACCACCACCUCGGAAGCGCUGAUGUUCCUCCAAGGCUGUGGGUGCCCACGAGAAGCCAGCCAAGCAAAAGCUGCUCAGCUGGAUGCCCAGUUCCAGCAGCUAGGAGGAGGAGUUUAGUGAGCGAUGGCAUCUCCUCCAUGCCUGGCAGGCCUGGCUCCAAGAUCAGCCUUGCUCUCAACCACCAGGGGCUAAUGCAGGAAGGGAGGGCCGUCAAGGAGGAGGCCCCGUUAGUCCCAGCAUCACCACUACAGCACUGGCAACUCCCAGUCACGGGGCUCAGCUCCAGCCCCAGGGCUCAGCCUCAGCAUGUUCACCCAGUGAACCUUCAGUCCCUGUGAUAGGAAGAUAGCAAAGACUCUUCACUUACUGUAAUUAUUGACAGUAUGCAGUGCACAGCUGAGACCCCUUUCUAUUUAACCACAGGUGUUCUUACUUGUGGGACAUUUAAUACUGUCUGUUACGUGCAAAAAUUCGAUUGCAUGAACGAACAUUGAAACUGCAACAUAAGGCACUCACAAGCUGAGAAAUGCCAGAAAUAAGAUUGCUAAUGUGUCCUUUA
Molecule: long non-coding RNA, 697 nt
Organism: Pseudopipra pipra
Lineage: Eukaryota; Metazoa; Chordata; Aves; Passeriformes; Pipridae
Exons: 2
Source: RefSeq, a predicted model, not a curated record